RNAcentral lists this ribosomal RNA (255 nucleotides) under uncultured bacterium. RNAcentral's name for it is "partial 16S ribosomal RNA". It matches the Rfam family "Bacterial small subunit ribosomal RNA", at positions 524 to 776 of the family's 1533-position model. The record is from RNAcentral.
UACGGAGGGAGCUAGCGUUGUUCGGAAUUACUGGGCGUAAAGCGCACGUAGGCGGCUUUGUAAGUUAGAGGUGAAAGCCCGGGGCUCAACCCCGGAAUUGCCUUUAAGACUGCAUCGCUUGAAUCCAGGAGAGGUGAGUGGAAUUCCGAGUGUAGAGGUGAAAUUCGUAGAUAUUCGGAAGAACACCAGUGGCGAAGGCGGCUCACUGGACUGGUAUUGACGCUGAGGUGGCGAAAAGCGUGGGGAGCAAACAGG